Molecule: long non-coding RNA, 94 nt
Organism: Nothoprocta perdicaria
Lineage: Eukaryota; Metazoa; Chordata; Aves; Tinamiformes; Tinamidae
Exons: 2
Source: RefSeq, a predicted model, not a curated record
UUUAAUGUUUAAAAUACUUGAUGUCUUGUGUUUUGAGAAGGACCCAGUAAGAACAGGUGGAAUGACUACUCUGCUGAGAUACACUCUUAAUUAA